Mauremys reevesii (Reeves's turtle) is the source of this 176-nucleotide long non-coding RNA. RefSeq lists it as uncharacterized. NCBI's taxonomy places the organism in Eukaryota, Metazoa, Chordata, Testudines, Geoemydidae. The record is from RefSeq and is a predicted model, not a curated record. The transcript has 3 exons.
GUGGAGACAAGGAUAUACUGCAUCAGGGGAAGUUUCAGAAGUAGGAACCAGGAGUCCUGGGUACAAUCCCGCUGCUUGAGCCACCUUAAAUACCAGUUUCCCUUGGCCACAGAGGAAGAGGAGAGCCAGCACCAUGUGAUCAGCCAGCUCUCCACAGACCACCAGUUCAAAAGCAG